This 497-nucleotide ribosomal RNA is filed under the name uncultured bacterium. Its description in RNAcentral is "partial 16S ribosomal RNA". It matches the Rfam family "Bacterial small subunit ribosomal RNA", at positions 28 to 507 of the family's 1533-position model. The record is from RNAcentral.
GAUGAACGCUGGCGGCGUGCCUAAUACAUGCAAGUCGAGCGAACAGACGAGGAGCUUGCUCCUCUGACGUUAGCGGCGGACGGGUGAGUAACACGUGGAUAACCUACCUAUAAGACUGGGAUAACUUCGGGAAACCGGAGCUAAUACCGGAUAAUAUAUUGAACCGCAUGGUUCAAUAGUGAAAGACGGUUUUGCUGUCACUUAUAGAUGGAUCCGCGCCGCAUUAGCUAGUUGGUAAGGUAACGGCUUACCAAGGCGACGAUGCGUAGCCGACCUGAGAGGGUGGUCGGCCACACUGGAGCUGAGACACGGUCCAGACUACUACGGGAGGCAGCAGUAGGGAAUCUUCCGCAAUGGGCGAAAGCCUGACGGAGCAACGCCGCGUGAGUGAUGAAGGUCUUCGGAUCGUAAAACUCUGUUAUUAGGGAAGAACAAAUGUGUAAGUAACUAUGCACGUCUUGACGGUACCUAAUCAGAAAGCCACGGCUAACUACGUG